UACGGAGGGUGCAAGCGUUAUCCGGAUUUACUGGGUUUAAAGGGUGCGUAGGUGGUAGGAAAGUCAGGGGUGAAAUCUUCGGGCUUAACCCGGAAACUGCCAUUGAUACUAUUUAUCUUGAAUACUUUGGAGGUAAGCGGAAUAUGUCAUGUAGCGGUGAAAUGCUUAGAUAUGACAUAGAACACCAAUUGCGAAGGCAGCUUACUACACAGUUAUUGACACUGAGGCACGAAAGCGUGGGGAUCAAACAGG
Molecule: ribosomal RNA, 252 nt
Filed under: uncultured bacterium
Lineage: Bacteria
Description: partial 16S ribosomal RNA
Rfam family: Bacterial small subunit ribosomal RNA
Source: RNAcentral